RNAcentral lists this ribosomal RNA (317 nucleotides) under Enterococcus hirae. RNAcentral describes it as "bacterial SSU rRNA". It matches the Rfam family "Bacterial small subunit ribosomal RNA", at positions 41 to 331 of the family's 1533-position model. The record is from RNAcentral. Lineage: Bacteria; Bacillati; Bacillota; Bacilli; Lactobacillales; Enterococcaceae.
GAACCUUGGGGCAUUCUAUACAUGCAGUCGUACGCUUCUUUUUCCCCGGAGCUUGCUCCACCGGAAAAAGAAGAGUGGCGAACGGGUGAGUAACACGUGGGUAACCUGCCCAUCCAAAGGGGAUAACACUUGGAAACAGGUGCUAAUACCGUAUAACAAUCGAAACCGCAUGGUUUUGAUUUGAAAAGCGCUUUCUGGUGUCGCUGAUGGAUGAACCCGCGGCGCAUUAUCUAUUUGGUGAGGUAACGGCUCACCAGGGCAACAAUGCAUAGCCGACCUGAAAGGGUGAUCGGCCACAUUGGAACUGAGACACGGAC